GGGACACAGGAGAUGGGGCUAGCCCCAGGACCCAAAGCAAUGUUAUGGGGCA
This is a non-coding RNA of Rattus norvegicus (Norway rat), 52 nucleotides long. The record is from Rfam. NCBI's taxonomy places the organism in Eukaryota, Metazoa, Chordata, Mammalia, Rodentia, Muridae.